UACAGAGGGUGCGAACGUUGUUCGGAAUUACUGGGCAUAAAGCGCGCGUAGGCGGCGACGUAAGUGUAGGGUGAAAUCCCACGGCUCACCCGUGUGAAUUGCCCCGCAUACUGCGUUGCUAGAGUGUGGUAGGGGAGAGCGGAACUCCUGGUGGAGCGGUGAAAUGCGUAGAUAUCAGGAGGAACACCGGUGGCGAAGGCGGCUCUCUGGUCCACAACUGACGCUGAAGUGCGAAAGCUAGGGUAGCGAA
RNAcentral lists this ribosomal RNA (250 nucleotides) under uncultured bacterium. Its description in RNAcentral is "partial 16S ribosomal RNA". It matches the Rfam family "Bacterial small subunit ribosomal RNA", at positions 524 to 772 of the family's 1533-position model. The record is from RNAcentral.